CAAGCACCUCGGUAGGUGAGGCGUCUGCAUGGAUACAGGCCACUGACCCCGAACGUCGAGAGACGCCCCGGGUCAGGACAGCUCCUCCCGGCUUAAGGGUUGAGCCCAAGUGGCUUCCGGCGAGGUCCGGAUACGCCGUGCAGUGCCGAAGCUCCGACGAGAGGGGUGCGCC
RNAcentral lists this small RNA (172 nucleotides) under Mycobacterium kansasii. RNAcentral's name for it is "Magnesium sequence". It matches the Rfam family "M-box riboswitch aptamer (ykoK leader)". From Rfam's summary of the family: M-box riboswitch, also know as ykoK leader is described as a metaloregulatory RNA that sense divalent metals and function as a genetic control element of genes related to divalent metal transport in bacteria. It was first reported upstream of the B.subtilis ykoK gene and genes with related functions in other bacteria. The record is from RNAcentral. Lineage: Bacteria; Bacillati; Actinomycetota; Actinomycetes; Mycobacteriales; Mycobacteriaceae.